RNAcentral lists this long non-coding RNA (4042 nucleotides) under Monomorium pharaonis (pharaoh ant). RNAcentral describes it as "uncharacterized LOC105828779, transcript variant X2". The record is from RNAcentral. Lineage: Eukaryota; Metazoa; Arthropoda; Insecta; Hymenoptera; Formicidae.
UUGACGCUACAAACGUUUCGAAGCAUUCUUUGAUUGGUCAAUUCAUAAAAACGAUUUGUUUCGAUUGGUCAAUCAAACACUUCGAAGCAUUUGUAGCGUCAAGUGGACCGCAGCAAUAGUUAUGCGUUGAUGACGUAGAACACGUACAUUGGUUACCAGUUAGUUCCCCGUUUCAAAGCUAACAUAAGGCGACUGCGCAUUGGUACACGCCAUGGAAGAUGGCGUGUCGACACGCGCGCCGGAAACAGAAAUGGGAUCAACCCUUUCAAAGGACUUGGGGAGUCGAUUUUGUAUUUCUGAAGAAAGUGAAAAUAUGAAAAGUGAAUAGCAUUGUCUCCAUUGAUUAGUGUAUAUUUUUAGAAUUAACAAUAUACAAUUACUGUUGCUUACUUUUUACAUUUUCACUUCUUUAGAAAUACAGAAUUGACCCCCCCCCUUGAUCCUUACCGGAAAUACGACGUAACAAUGUUCUAGAAUUUUUGGCAGUUAGUCCAUGUGCCGGCCGGCAAAGCGAGGGGAGUGAAAUGUGGUACGACACUUUCCUUCGAGCCUUCGAGAACAUUCGACUGUGGUCAUUUGCGUCAAGUCUGUGGUCAAGUUGCGUCGAUUUUGUGCUAAGUCUGUACUCUUAUUAACGUAAUUAUUUAACUUCCGAAUACGAUCGUCAUUCUGAACAAGUCACGGCAACUGGAAAUACAGAAGAUACAACCAUAGAACGAUUCUUGUGCAAAUGGAAGGAGCCAGAGCUUUUGCAGCUGCUGAUGUGAUAACUGGUUGUCUGGAACAUAGACACUCUUAUGUUAGAUGUAAUGCAGUGCUUGCCAUUUUUACCAUAUACAGAAAUUUUGAAUUCCUUAUAUUGGAUGCUCUGGAUCUGAUUGCAAAAUAUCUAGAAAGAAAGCAAGAUAUGUCAUACAGAAGAAAUGCAUUCUUGAUGCUGUGCAUGCCAAUCAAACCAAAGUUCUUGCAUGUUUAGCCACGUGUCUCAAUCAAGUGCCAAAUUUCGAUGAUUUAUUACAGUUGGUCAUUGUUGAAUUAAUAUAUAAGGUUUGUCAACACAUUUUAUUAGAUCUAUUUACAGUUUGCUAAAUUCACCUAGCGCUGUGGUGUGUUAUGAAGCAGCUGGCACAUUGGUGACUAAUGCGUCAACCGCGAUUAAAGCCAGCUAUCGAAUUGGCCGUCAAGGAAAGUGACAACAAUGUUAAACUUUUAUUCAUUGUUGUACAAUAUUGUACUAAAUUGGUUAAUUGUGAUGAAAGAUAGUCCCGUGCAUGAACGGGUGCUUCAAGAUCUUGUAAUGGAUAUACUCCACGUUUUAGAAUCACCAGCCUUGGAAGUUAGGAUAAAAACCUUGGCUCUAGCCAUGGACCUAAUUACAACUUGCACAACCAAGGGAUGGUUCGGUUUUUGAAGAAAGAAGUUCUUAGGAGAGCUGGUGGAGAGCACGAGAAUGCUGGCAAAUACCGUCAGCUUUUUAUACGAACUCUUCAGACUUGUUCCAUGAAGUUUGCGGAUGUUGCCGUUACUGUCAUUCCAGUAUCGACCAAUUUUCUAUUUAAGAAUAAUGACCCAGCUGUUACAGACUUUGUAUUUAUCCGUGAAGCUAUUCCCAGAUUCGAGAAUCUGAGACCGUUGAUCAUUGAGAAAUUACUGGAGGUGUUUCCACAUAUACGAUCUGUAAAAGUACAUAAGGCCACACUCUGUAUUCUCGGCGAAUACGCAAUGUCGAAAGAGGACAUUAAACCCGUGAUUGUCUAUGAGUCGUCUAUGAGUAGCGUUAGGUGAGCUGCCAUUGCUUGAAAUGGAAAACAAACGUCAAGCUGGUAAAAAGUCCAAAGAUGGUAACUCGCAAGCUACACCUGCGCAACUCGUAAUGUGCGAUGAUACUUACGCAACUCAAAGUGCUUUUAGUGUUGCAUGUACGGAAGGAGGAAAAGCGACCAGCAUUAGUGCAGUACAUGAUGGAAGGUGAAUUCUUUAUUGACGCAUUCUUGGCUAUCACAUUAGCAAAAUUAGCUUUUUGAUAUGAAAUUCUUGAACCAACGUACAAAAGAGCAACAGAUUGCUUGCGGAAGCAAUGUUUGUAAUGACCAGUAUAUUGCAACUAUGUCGUUUGGGUCUUCCCACGAAAGCGAUGACACACGACGACGCGGAAAGGAUCUGUCUGUCUCAGAUCUCUCUUUUGUUCUACACCUCUUAUACAGAAAGUUUGCUUUGAAGGAUGCUGCGACGCGCUCGGUAGAAUGCCUCAGAUAGGCACCGUACUGAAAUCCUGGCUCGAACUGAAAAGAGCUGAUUAAAUUCUUUGAUUUUAAGAUCUUAUUUUAUAAAACUGCAAAAAAUUGUGGUGAAGUGAAAAGAUGGCAAAUUGGCAAAGAAACCAGCAUUAUGGAUUAAACUUGCUUUAAUACAUUGACUGGAUUUACCAGUGUUGGAUCACAUCCACCUUUUGGUAGGCGGGAUCAGUCAUGUUGAGAGCCAUAGCAUUUUCAGAACGAUAUCAUAGAGAAUUUUCUAUAAUACGUGUGGGAAAUAACCAAAAAGUUAACUGAAGUGGAAUGAAGAGCGGAUGGAGCAUGCCAAAAUUGUGACAAGUCAUCAUCACAUGUGUAGUGUCGAAAUGAGUUCAGCUGUUUUUAUUGCGAGCAGACAGUAUUGAUAGUAUGGGUGUCCCCUCCUAAAGGACAAAGCAGCAGAGGCUGGUGGUGGCGACAACAGUAUUGACAGCGACGGCGGUUAUGUAGAAGACGGACUGAUGGUCGAAGAAAUCGGGAAUAAGAUUAUCACAGACACUAUUAAGAUAAGUGGUUUAAAUGUUCUAAAAUUUGAGUUAGUAAAUGCCUUAAUCACUAGUAGUUCGAUAUCUUUCGUGAGAUUUGAGACUUGCGCGCGUUAACAAUAUAUUAUACUUAGAGUUAAUCUACGUGUCAAGAGUUGAGAAGAUUGAACAGAGAUGUUCUUAACGUAUUAGGUAUAGUGAUCCUGAAUUUAUCGCUUGAAUCGUUAGGCAAAGAAAGUCUUACAAUCGAUUUUUUUGUCUUACAAAAUGCAAAUUUCGGUGCCGAUAUAAUUUUGGGACGCAAAUUCUUGCGUAAGGAAAAGUUUAUUCUAGUGUACAGUUCGUCUUAUGAAAACGAUAAAACCAACUUAUUUGAAUCUCUGUCAUAUGUAGAAGAUCUGGUACAUAACAAAGAUCUCGAGCAAAUAUUAGAGUCAUGCGACAUUGAUUUUGAAUAACAGACAAAAAGAGCGAUUGAAGGACUUGAUUUUAGAAGUCGAUACGCGAGAGAUACAAACAGUCGAGGACAACUAUACGGUUCAAAUUCACUUAAAGUGUCUUAAAGAAUUCUCCGUUUAUGCGUACACGCUCAGGUGAGUCGCAUACAUCGAGAGGCAACAGAUAUGCGGAAUCAUUGACGAGCUCUUAGCACGGGGAAUUAUUAAACCCAGCAUAUCUCCGUAUUAUGCUCGAAUCGUCCCUGUGCGAAAAAAGAACGGGUGAUCUUAAAAGAUUAUAGACUUAAGAUCGUUCAAUAGCCGGAUGCAAAAGCAGAAAUAUCCGCCCCCAGUUAUUGAGGAAUGUCUUUCGAGACUCGGAAAUAAAUCGGUAUUGUUUUUGUUAGAUGUCAAGGACGCUUUUUACCAAAUAAAGGCGCACAGAAGUUUGAUCAAAUAUUUUUUGUUCGCGAUGCCAGACGGUCAAUUCUAGCUUAGCAUCGAUACGUUGUUUCUUAUAUAAAAAAUUAUAUUAUAAAUAACGUUAUACUUCUGUAGAUUAUUUUACAUUAAUUUCAUAUAUAAGUCUUAUGAUUAUUCGAAGCAGCGAGUAGUUGUAGGACAUGCAAUAGAUGCAUUUAGCACGUUGAGCCCUGUUGCUUGUUUCUUGGAAUUUUGUUUCUUUUUAGAAACUUGCAGAUUUACUGAUUCAGAAUCAGCUUCAACUGCUGAAGUUGAUUCUGUUAAAUAACUGUAUCAGGAUUAUUUAACAAGACUUGUUCGUCAUCUUGAAAUGUUAACUCUUUUGUUUUUAUUUUGAAAAAAA